CCUACGGGAGGCAGCAGUGGGGAAUAUUGCGCAAUGGGCGAAAGCCUGACGCAGCGACGCCGCGUGAGGGAUGAAGGUCUUCGGAUCGUAAACCUCUGUCAGCAGGGAAGAACGGUCACUGUGCUAAUCAGCAGUGAAUUGACGGUACCUGCAAAGGAAGCACCGGCUAACUCCGUGCCAGCAGCCGCGGUAAUACGGAGGGUGCGAGCGUUAAUCGGAAUUACUGGGCGUAAAGCGCGCGUAGGCGGUAUGUCAAGUCAAGGGUGAAAUCCCCGCGCUCAACGUGGGAACUGCCUUUGAAACUGGCAAACUGGAGUGUGGGAGAGGAUAGUGGAAUUCCAGGUGUAGGGGUGAAAUGCGUAGAUAUCUGGAGGAACAUCAGUGGCGAAGGCGACUAUCUGGCACAUAACUGACGCUGAGGAGCGAAAGCGUGGGUAGCAAACAGGAUUAGAUACCCCUGUAGUC
RNAcentral lists this ribosomal RNA (465 nucleotides) under uncultured bacterium. RNAcentral describes it as "partial 16S ribosomal RNA". It matches the Rfam family "Bacterial small subunit ribosomal RNA", at positions 338 to 795 of the family's 1533-position model. The record is from RNAcentral.